This 988-nucleotide long non-coding RNA is filed under the name Gallus gallus (chicken). Its description in RNAcentral is "lncRNA (ENSGALG00000053874.2)". Lineage: Eukaryota; Metazoa; Chordata; Aves; Galliformes; Phasianidae. The record is from RNAcentral.
AAAAGAGCUCCCUAAAGGAAUACUCUGUCUAUUUGAAGCCAGAAGGAUACUAUCCAAGGAAGCCAAUUUGCUUUGAGCUGUAGAGCUGUACCAUAAUAAGUGUCAGAGAUUUCCGUGCUCUCCGCCCAUGUGUGGGUAUUGAGAACUGCAGCAUUUAUGUGUAUGUGAGGAUAACUGCCUGUCAUAUUAAUUGCUGCAAUACAUCUUCAAGGUUCUGUUUGCAGCUAUGGGAAAGUGCACUGAAAGUUGGUUUUGAACUUUUUCUGAAAGCAGGCAGAAGUCUGUUCAUUCUCCUGUACUAUGGGAAAAAAGAAGUUCAAAGAACUGGAACAUUUGCCUUAAAAAUGAUGAUCUCCCUGGCAAAAUAAAUUACGUCUUGGAAUUAUGUCAAGACUUUUAACUGAAGAAAGAGUUUCAAAACAAUCUUUGUGCAAAAUGAAGCUCACUUUCUCCUUUUAAUUCAUCGUUCUGCCUGCUAAUUCUCUGGGUGUUUCUGUCUGUAAGUCAAGCAUAUGCUCUUUCUCUUGCUCUCUGGAAGGGUUCCAAAGGUUGGGGGGAAGUCUUCCAGGAAACCUUUCCAAAACAUAUUUAGGGCUUGUUCUUCCUGUGCAGAUAAAACCCUCAGAUGUGUAUUAAUACAGUCUAACUGAAGCUGGAAAAUACAAUAUUUGGUUUGGGGCAUUUUUUUUUUAAUUAAAAGAUAGAGACUUAUUGCUAUUUUUCCUGUUAGAAUUUGCAUCAAGAGGUUUAGUUCUUUGUUAUUUCAUUGUUUCUUUCAGUGAGUUCCAGAUGUGCGAAUCAUUUGAGAUUUAUCUUAGUAUAAAUGUUUAUUUGAUCAAAUAAUUUUGUUGCAUUCUGAGACAUCCUUAUCAGAUUAGCAGAUGGAAAUGAAUGUAGUCUCUACCUUUCAUGACGGCAUUCUAUAUGGCUGUGUUUUGAAAACUUCUGUCUUCUCAGAGUUACAAAAAUAAUCCAGAAUAAAUGAUCU